Molecule: ribosomal RNA, 301 nt
Filed under: uncultured bacterium
Lineage: Bacteria
Description: partial 16S ribosomal RNA
Rfam family: Bacterial small subunit ribosomal RNA
Source: RNAcentral
CAGUCGCCGCGGUAAGACGGAGGGUGCUAGCGUUGUUCGGAAUCACUGGGCGUAAAGGGCGCGUAGGCGGCCUGUUAAGUCGGAUGUGAAAGCCCGGGGCUCAACCCCGGAACUGCAUCCGAGACUGGCAGGCUUGGGACCGGGGGAGGAGGGUGGAAUAUCCAGUGUAGAGGUGAAAUUCGUAGAUAUUGGAUGGAACACCGGUGGCGAAAGCGGCUCUCUGGCCCGGAUCUGACGCUGAGGCGCGAAAGCGUGGGGAGCAAACAGGAUUAGAUACCCGCGUAGUCCCUGUCUCUUAUAC